Molecule: long non-coding RNA, 831 nt
Organism: Pollicipes pollicipes
Lineage: Eukaryota; Metazoa; Arthropoda; Thecostraca; Pollicipedomorpha; Pollicipedidae
Exons: 3
Source: RefSeq, a predicted model, not a curated record
UGGCAGCCUGGCAGCGGCCACUGCAACGUGCUGACUGGAGCGGCGGAGGCGGCCCGGGUCAUCGGGGUCGAUCUGCAGCACCGCUCCAUCAGCUGGCAAUGUGUCGCCGCCAUCACGGCGUGCCGCCGGUCGGCGGGGUGCCACCGCCGCCGGCCGAGGCCGCCAAAGGCGUGACGCCAUGAUGACCGUGCUGAUGGUGCUGUGCACCGGCCGCCCGAGCCACAUGACUGGUAUCGCUGUCACGGCGGUGCCCGAGGCCAGGCUGAUCCCGGCGGUGGCGGAGACAUAUCCGCGGCACAUGUGGCGGUCCCGGCGUUUCUGGGUGCCUUCAAACGGCGGGGCAUACCUACCCAGAGGCCCGGCGUCCGGCUGGACCAGCAGGAGGCGGCGCUGCUGGGCAGGACCCGGAGGUCCGGCUCCGCCACGGCCCAGACUGGCCCGCGGAGCCUCAGUCGGUGCCUGUACUUGCAGUAGCUGGCGGCUGACGCCGCCCUCAGACCUACGGCACCGGCAGACGCAGCGUCCUGAUCAUGCAGCCUGCUGAUGACUUACUCUAAACACAUCUAAAUAAAGUAAAAUGCGUCUAUAAGCACCAGUGAUAAGCGUCUGUUCACAAAGACGAAUCAUUGACAAGGCAAUUGCUGUCUUCCACUCUGUGUCUCAGCCAGCAAGGCACAGUAUAGCCGUGUCCUUUUUGGCGGCGAGGGAUAGACCCAGCGGGAUUUGCGCCAUUGCAGUUAUUCUAAGAAUGCCUGUUGGCACUUAUUGCCUUUCAGUAUAUGUUGUAUUUGUAUUUUUGUAUGCAGGUAUUGUUUCAAUACAUUAUCUAGA